AUUAGCUCAGGUGGCUAGAGCGCACCCCUGAUAAGGGUGAGGUCUCUGGUUCAAGUCCAGG
RNAcentral lists this transfer RNA (61 nucleotides) under Cryptomonas paramaecium. RNAcentral's name for it is "Cryptomonas paramecium tRNA". It matches the Rfam family "tRNA", at positions 8 to 63 of the family's 71-position model. From Rfam's summary of the family: Transfer RNA (tRNA) molecules are approximately 80 nucleotides in length. Their secondary structure includes four short double-helical elements and three loops (D, anti-codon, and T loops). Further hydrogen bonds mediate the characteristic L-shaped molecular structure. tRNAs have two regions of fundamental functional importance: the anti-codon, which is responsible for specific mRNA codon recognition, and the 3' end, to which the tRNAs corresponding amino acid is attached (by aminoacyl-tRNA synthetases). tRNAs cope with the degeneracy of the genetic code in two manners: having more than one tRNA (with a specific anti-codon) for a particular amino acid; and 'wobble' base-pairing, i.e. permitting non-standard base-pairing at the 3rd anti-codon position. Lineage: Eukaryota; Cryptophyceae; Cryptomonadales; Cryptomonadaceae. The record is from RNAcentral.